This 946-nucleotide ribosomal RNA is filed under the name Salmonella enterica. RNAcentral's name for it is "partial 23S ribosomal RNA". It matches the Rfam family "Bacterial large subunit ribosomal RNA", at positions 1918 to 2858 of the family's 2925-position model. RNAcentral also lists the same sequence under 6 other names. Lineage: Bacteria; Pseudomonadati; Pseudomonadota; Gammaproteobacteria; Enterobacterales; Enterobacteriaceae. The record is from RNAcentral.
CCCCGGUAAACGGCGGCCGUAACUAUAACGGUCCUAAGGUAGCGAAAUUCCUUGUCGGGUAAGUUCCGACCUGCACGAAUGGCGUAAUGAUGGCCAGGCUGUCUCCACCCGAGACUCAGUGAAAUUGAACUCGCUGUGAAGAUGCAGUGUACCCGCGGCAAGACGGAAAGACCCCGUGAACCUUUACUAUAGCUUGACACUGAACAUUGAGCCUUGAUGUGUAGGAUAGGUGGGAGGCUUUGAAGUGUGGACGCCAGUCUGCAUGGAGCCGACCUUGAAAUACCACCCUUUAAUGUUUGAUGUUCUAACGUGGACCCGUAAUCCGGGUUGCGGACAGUGUCUGGUGGGUAGUUUGACUGGGGCGGUCUCCUCCUAAAGAGUAACGGAGGAGCACGAAGGUUGGCUAAUCCUGGUCGGACAUCAGGAGGUUAGUGCAAUGGCAUAAGCCAGCUUGACUGCGAGCGUGACGGCGCGAGCAGGUGCGAAAGCAGGUCAUAGUGAUCCGGUGGUUCUGAAUGGAAGGGCCAUCGCUCAACGGAUAAAAGGUACUCCGGGGAUAACAGGCUGAUACCGCCCAAGAGUUCAUAUCGACGGCGGUGUUUGGCACCUCGAUGUCGGCUCAUCACAUCCUGGGGCUGAAGUAGGUCCCAAGGGUAUGGCUGUUCGCCAUUUAAAGUGGUACGCGAGCUGGGUUUAGAACGUCGUGAGACAGUUCGGUCCCUAUCUGCCGUGGGCGCUGGAGAACUGAGGGGGGCUGCUCCUAGUACGAGAGGACCGGAGUGGACGCAUCACUGGUGUUCGGGUUGUCAUGCCAAUGGCACUGCCCGGUAGCUAAAUGCGGAAGAGAUAAGUGCUGAAAGCAUCUAAGCACGAAACUUGCCCCGAGAUGAGUUCUCCCUGAGACUUAGAGUCUCCUGAAGGAACGUUGAAGACGACGACGUUGAUA